Molecule: non-coding RNA, 53 nt
Filed under: Homo sapiens (human)
Lineage: Eukaryota; Metazoa; Chordata; Mammalia; Primates; Hominidae
Source: RNAcentral
ACCAACAAUACAAAACAUUAGCCGGGUGUGGUGGCAGGUGCCUGUAAUCCCAG